AAAAACAAAUCGAAACAUGUAUUCAAUCAAAAAACUAAAAAGAAUACAAAAUAAAAUAAAAACAACGAUGCUAUGAAAUAGUUAAAAAAUUACACUAGCUAAUGAAUGAAUAAAAUGAUAGAUGAUACUUAUGUUUGAUUCUUGAUUUUGAUUUUCAUCGGAUGCCAUAAUUGAGACAAUAGGGUUACAAUAUAUUGAUUAAGGUUUUCUAAUAAAAAUAAGAUAUAUCACAG
RNAcentral lists this small RNA (233 nucleotides) under Arabidopsis thaliana (thale cress). RNAcentral describes it as "ATSL100540". The record is from RNAcentral. Lineage: Eukaryota; Viridiplantae; Streptophyta; Magnoliopsida; Brassicales; Brassicaceae.